GUGCAAGUGGGUGACAGGCUGGAACAGCCUUUUGUUCCGGUCCAAAGCGGACGCCUGACUUUUGUGGGAAGUGAGGAUCAUUUUCCCAAUCUGGAUGCC
This 99-nucleotide transfer RNA is filed under the name Phocaeicola vulgatus. Its description in RNAcentral is "Bacteroides vulgatus tRNA-Arg(ccg)". RNAcentral also lists the same sequence under 1 other name. The record is from RNAcentral. Lineage: Bacteria; Pseudomonadati; Bacteroidota; Bacteroidia; Bacteroidales; Bacteroidaceae.